GACGAACGCUGGCGGCGUGCUUAACACAUGCAAGUCGAACGGAAAGGCCCUGCUUGCAGGGUACUCGAGUGGCGAACGGGUGAGUAACACGUGGGUGAUCUGCCCUGCACUUCGGGAUAAGCCUGGGAAGCUGGGUCUAAUACCGGAUAGGAGCCAUUUUUAGUGUGAUGGUUGGAAAGUUUUUUCGGUGUAGGAUGAGCUCGCGGCCUAUCAGCUUGUUGGUGGGGUAAUGGCCUACCAAGGCGGCGACGGGUAGCCGGCCUGGGAGGGUGGACGGCCACAUUGGGACUGAGAUACGGCCCAGACUCCUACGGGAGGCAGCAGUGGGGAAUAAUGCACAAUGGGCGCAAGCCUGAUGCAGCGACGCCGCGUGGGGGAUGACGGCCUUCGGGUUGUAAACUCCUUUCGCUAGGGACGAAGCUUUUUGUGACGGUACCUAGAUAAGAAGCACCGGCUAACUACGUG
This 465-nucleotide ribosomal RNA is filed under the name uncultured bacterium. RNAcentral describes it as "partial 16S ribosomal RNA". It matches the Rfam family "Bacterial small subunit ribosomal RNA", at positions 28 to 507 of the family's 1533-position model. The record is from RNAcentral.